RNAcentral lists this unclassified non-coding RNA (21 nucleotides) under Mus musculus (house mouse). RNAcentral describes it as "oocyte_clustered_small_RNA8054". Lineage: Eukaryota; Metazoa; Chordata; Mammalia; Rodentia; Muridae. The record is from RNAcentral.
UGUUUGUGAGGCUGAACUGGA